This 404-nucleotide ribosomal RNA is filed under the name Verrucomicrobiota bacterium. RNAcentral's name for it is "Verrucomicrobia bacterium partial 16S ribosomal RNA". It matches the Rfam family "Bacterial small subunit ribosomal RNA", at positions 355 to 776 of the family's 1533-position model. Lineage: Bacteria; Pseudomonadati; Verrucomicrobiota. The record is from RNAcentral.
UGGGGAAUAUUGCACAAUGGAGGGAACUCUGAUGCAGCGACGCCGCGUGAACGAAGAAGGCUUUCGAGUCGUAAAGUUCUUUUAUAUGGGAAGAUAAUGACGGUACCAUAAGAAAAAGCCACGGCUAACUACGUGCCAGCAGCCGCGGUAAUACGUAGGUGGCGAGCGUUAUCCGGAUUUACUGGGUGUAAAGGGCGUGCAGGCGGGCUGAUAAGUCAGAUGUGAAAUCCCCGAGCUUAACUCGGGAACUGCAUCUGAUACUGUUGGUCUUGAGUGCUGGAGAGGAUAGUGGAAUUCCUAGUGUAGCGGUAAAAUGCGCAGAUAUUAGGAAGAACACCGGUGGCGAAGGCGACUUUCUGGACGACAACUGACGCUUAGGCGCGAAAGCGUGGGGAGCAAACAGG